GAACAGAUCCUCCACCUGCUGGCGCUCGCUGU
Molecule: non-coding RNA, 32 nt
Filed under: Syntrophotalea carbinolica DSM 2380
Lineage: Bacteria; Pseudomonadati; Thermodesulfobacteriota; Desulfuromonadia; Desulfuromonadales; Syntrophotaleaceae
Source: RNAcentral